AUACACGCUGGCGGCGUGCAUGAGCCCUGCCAGUCGCACGAAGGAUCGGGCUUGCUCGAUCCUUAGUGGCGGACGGCUGAGUAACGCGUAGGUGACCUACCCCGCAGUGGGGAAUAACUGCCCGAAGGGGUGGCUAAUACCGCAUGUGGUCGCACGUUCAUUCGUGCGAGUAACGCCGCAAGGCGCUUCGGGAGGGGCCUGCGUCCGAUUAGCUCGUUGGUGGGGUAAUGGCUUACCAAGGCGACGAUCGGUAGGUGGUCUGAGAGGACGAUCACCCAGACUGGGACUGAGACACGGCCCAGACUCCUACGGGAGGCAGCAGUCGGGAAUUUUGCUCAAUGGGGGAAACCCUGAAGCAGCAACGCCGCGUGAGGGAUGAAGGCCUUCGGGUUGUAAACCUCUUUUGUCAGGGACGAUGAUGACGGUACCUGGCGAAUAAGCCACGGCUAACUACGUG
This 457-nucleotide ribosomal RNA is filed under the name uncultured bacterium. RNAcentral describes it as "partial 16S ribosomal RNA". It matches the Rfam family "Bacterial small subunit ribosomal RNA", at positions 33 to 507 of the family's 1533-position model. The record is from RNAcentral.